Molecule: long non-coding RNA, 1654 nt
Filed under: Accipiter nisus (Eurasian sparrowhawk)
Lineage: Eukaryota; Metazoa; Chordata; Aves; Accipitriformes; Accipitridae
Description: lncRNA (ENSANIG00000014940.1)
Source: RNAcentral
GUCGGUGUAGAGAAAUACCACAGAUGGCAUCAUUUUUUAAAACACCUCUGCCAAAAUCUUUUAAAACAAAACUUGCCAUUUCUGUUUGCAUUGAUGCUCCUUUCCUGCUAUUGAUUUUUGCUCUUUACCAUUACUGAUGCGAGGAACAGGCAGCGGCCAUUGUCGCGCCAGCACAUGGAUGGAAGGAAAUAAUUUUCAGAAAUCCUGUUAAUGGUGGGGGGUCCUUGUUUUGUUUGGGGUUUGAUUUUUGUUUUGCUCUACUCUUACUGCUCUAUUUAACAUCAAAAUAACAGGGCUGUUAGACUGGCUACCAAGUCCCCAGAUGGCCAUAAGGAGAACUUGGUGGUGUAUUUAUGUGACGGCUGUACCAUAAAAAUGGAUCAGUAAAUGCUUCAAGCGGAGAGCUUGGCUUGAGCUGAGUCCCAUGACCUGACACGAGCUGGAGCUGAGGAGGGAUUUCAGAAGCUGAACAAUGCAUUUCCAGGAGGGCAAGGGAGAACAGGAAUUAGGGAUAAUGCAAAAGAAAACCUGAGACCUGCACGGUACCAGGAACAAGGCUCAGUCCAACCUUUCCUCCGUGAAGGGGCCCGAGGAUCCAGAGUCCGUGGGCGACACGUCCCCGUGCCUGCUCCUGCGCUCACAGUCAUGCGUGGAGCUCAGCUGGUGCUGGAGCUGCCACUGGCCAACUUCUUCUCACCAAGUCCGGGAUGCUUGCAAGGGAAGAGCCAUGAAGAAACCCAAACCUUGCUUCCAACCUGCUCUUUUGACAUUGUGAAAUGCCUCCGUACAUUUGCCAGCAGUGCAGAACUGCUUGCCUAGCCCUGAUAUAUAGGGGACAUUUAGGCAGAAUGGAGAUCGAUAACUGGACAACGUGAACAAAAUGGACAAAAUCCUUUUAUCUGAUGUCCGUAGGGAAUGUUCAAGCCAUGGAGGAAAUGCAUGGUGGGUGGAAUGAAGUGUUUUCAUCGGACCCAUUUUCUGUUCAGAAAUGGUCUAGUUUGAGAAAAAUUACUUUGGUCCAGACCAUCUGAAUUCGUUAUUAUCACUAACUUUGGAGGUUGCAGUCAUGGGCCACUGUGCUUGGAGCUGCACAAAAGACUGUUGUCGAUGCCAUGUCCAGCUGAGAAUUUCAUGAAGAAAAUCUGCACUUUUAAAAUCAGCUAAUCAGCAGACUAGCUAAAGAAGUAGUUACUUCCUUUGGAUCCCAACAAUGCCAGCACAUUGCACAGCAAAGCAUGUAAAAGAAGUAGCAUGCAACAUUAAGUGAUAUAAGUGAAUAUGCCAUUAAAGAACCAAAGGGCUAUUUUUUUCUAAAUCUGUCAUUUAAAAAAAAAAAAAAGACACCUCAUUUCAACUUGUCCAAAAGCUGCUAAACCAAUUUAACACAUUGCUGUUUACUUCUGAAAGAGGUUGAGAGCUUAUCUUAUCUCCUCCUACCACUGUUCGAGGCUAAUCACAAUAUAUUAAUGCAUUCACAGUAUGAAAAUCUCUUUUCCAUUGGAAUAAACCAGUAAAAUGAACUUAGAGAUUUCUACAAACUCUGGUUACCAAAGACCUAUUCUUUUUCUUGUCUGAAGUGCAGAAGGUGGCUAAGAGAUCGGAAGUGAUGAAGGAACAGUGAAGCACUGGAUCACCCAAGCUCCUAUUCCUGGCA